GGAGAGGUGCCGGAGUGGUCGAUCGGGGCGGUCUCGAAAACCGUUGUACCGCGUGAGCGGUACCGUGGGUUCGAAUCCCACCCUCUCCGCCA
This 92-nucleotide transfer RNA is filed under the name Pseudomonadota bacterium. RNAcentral describes it as "tRNA-Ser". It matches the Rfam family "tRNA". From Rfam's summary of the family: Transfer RNA (tRNA) molecules are approximately 80 nucleotides in length. Their secondary structure includes four short double-helical elements and three loops (D, anti-codon, and T loops). RNAcentral also lists the same sequence under 1 other name. Lineage: Bacteria; Pseudomonadati; Pseudomonadota. The record is from RNAcentral.